UUCUACUUGGGUGUUUUUGACCUUAGCCCCAGUGAGUACAUGGAGCAGGUAUGGUAUGUGUUUCAAGUUGGAAACACGAGGUAAGGUCUGUGAUCCAAUUUUAUUGGCUACCUUGAUUAUGCAAGUGUUAACUGUGUGUUUUGAUUGCUUGCAGAUUUAUUGGGCAUCAAGGUGGAGAUUUGUUGGGUUUUUUGAUACCCAAUAAAUCCCGGGCUAUGAUGUUAACGUGGGUUAAUAUUAUUUUAUAGGCAUAGGCCGAUGAAUGAAAUAAGUCCAACAACCAAGUUCAUGAGCUACACCCGGCCCAAUUGUAUUCCUUAUGGAUGGCUUGAAUCUUGGCCCGUUUACCCCUUUAAUGGCCCAACUUAAAGCCUAACCCUAGAGUAUAUAUAUGAAUAUAACCCUAGCCUCUUUGUGAUGAUGAUUGUGUGAUUUUGAGAGAAGAAACUAGUGAAUCCCGGUUG
RNAcentral lists this long non-coding RNA (464 nucleotides) under Olea europaea (common olive). Its description in RNAcentral is "long non-coding RNA (OEUR_LNC002565)". Lineage: Eukaryota; Viridiplantae; Streptophyta; Magnoliopsida; Lamiales; Oleaceae. The record is from RNAcentral.